Molecule: long non-coding RNA, 3091 nt
Filed under: Schizosaccharomyces pombe (fission yeast)
Lineage: Eukaryota; Fungi; Ascomycota; Schizosaccharomycetes; Schizosaccharomycetales; Schizosaccharomycetaceae
Description: non-coding RNA, possible alternative UTR
Source: RNAcentral
AGUUUUCUUGUUCCUUACACUACCUUACUUUCUAUUUUUUACACAGUGUAAGAUAAAUCACUGACAAUAGAGAAUAAUAUAUAAAGGUGUGAAUAAACUCAAAGACUACAGUCUUAGUUUUUAAAGAAAUAUUUUAUUGUAUUGAUGCCGAUAGGAUGACACAGCAUGUAUACAUCUAAAUCUAGAGAGGAGUUAAGGUUAAAUGCAAAUAUUAAAUAAAAAACUCAAAUCGGUGAAGUUGCUAAAAUCAUGCUCAGAUGGAAAGGGUGGAUUCAAGUUGUUUGUUGUAACGAAGUCCAAAGAUUUGAUGUUUAUCCAAAACUUUUUUAGCCUCUUCAAGUUGUUCUGAACUCAAAGAUUUCUUGAGUGCACUAAGAUUGCUCUCAGCUCGUUGAACAGUUGUAGAUCCAGGAAUAGGAAUGAUCAUGCCUUUUCCGUUUGCAAUAAUGAAGUUAAGAGCGAAUUCAGGCAUACUCAUACCAAACUUUUGAGCCAAUUGCUCGACUGCUUUAAGAAACGGGAUAUUUUUUUCAAAAACUUUUGGAUUAAACUUGUCCAUAUUCCGUAAGAAGGGAAAUGCUUUGAUAAAGUCUUUAAGAUCUUCAGCAGUCUUGACACGCCCAGUUAAAAGUCCAUGACAGAAAGGCGCGUAAGCGAUUAUUGGGAUAGAGAGCUGUGUACAAGUAUCGAGAAUGCCAUUUUUCUCGAUAUCUCGUGAGAAUAGAGAGUAUUCGGUUUCGACUGCCGCAAUAGGCACGAUGGCAAGGGCGCGUUUGAUGCUUUCAGCAGAAGCCUCGCUAAGACCGACACAUGAAAUUUCUCCUGAGUCUACAAAAGCCUUCAAUGCUUUCAUGGUAGUUUCAAUUGGAACUUUGUGAUCAACUCGGGCACAUUGGAAGAGAUCUAGCUUUUUCUUUCCACGUAAACGAGUAAGUGCAUUUUUUACACUCUUAGUCACUGAUUCAGGAUCUCCAUGGGGAGCGAGUGUUUUAAAAUCUGUUCCUCCCUUAACUGAUAAAAAUACUUUAUCGGCAUUUUUUGGAUACUUUUCAAAAUAAUCAGCCAACAAAUCUAAAUUGGCAGUAGGAGGAUUGAUGCCAUAGAAUUCUCCAGCAUUCCAAUAGUUCGAACCUUGGGACAAGGCGUAAUUCAUUAACUCAAAGGCUUGUUUAAUGGGAGUUUGCUUGGGUCUCCAAGUUAAACCCAUAAGGCCUAAGCCAAUAGGUCCUACUUUAAAACCGUUCACAAUAGGCAUUGUGAAAUGACAGUCAAAUCGAGAAGAAAAAUAAUUUUAAGAAAUUCUCUAAUUCUCACGAAAAGUAAAUGUCUACUAUACUUUCAGUUCUGGUGCAAUUGGUAUACCAAAUAGUUUCAAAAUGGGGAAAACCAACUUGAAACAAAAAUCAAGGAAAAUAUCGUCUGUUUAUGAAUCUUCAGUAAUUUGUAUUUCGUGAGCGUCAGUAUAAAUUUUGUUCUGAUUUAUAAUUUGGAGGGAUGUGACGCUAGUCUUACAACAUUCAACCUUUCCCACACGUUUACUGUUGAUUAGUGAAAUUUCUUAUUUCUCUGCUUUUUUAGAUAACAUUGAUUUAUAUUUUUUUGAAUUAUGUUUUUACAGUGGCCCUUAUCUAUAAUAAACCGUGAUCAAGUUUCUGUACCCAGGUCUCUGAAAAAGGAAAGGUUUUUUACGGUUCAUAUCAUGGGUGCUUGAGUUUUUUAGAUCAUUUUAUAAUUUGAUCAAAUGCAACAGGAUACUGUUAUUAUUACUUUACUCAGAAAACUGCCCAACGGUCCUUAUCCCAUUCAUUAGUGUUUCGUAUGAAUUAGGCCAGAAUGAAGUUAGUUACAAAAGCGCGAAUUGCUUUUAUUUGAGGGGUCUUAGAAAACUGUGAACGGUAUAAAAGAGCAGUAAUGAAACAAUGGAAACUAGAGUCGUAUUUAAUGUUGUUCAAUUUCCAAAGGCUGCCUUUGAAUUAGUCGUAGCAGCAAUUCUAGCAAACAAGCUAUUUGAAAAUAAACAAAGUGUCUUUUAUAUUUCGUUGAAUAUAUUUAUGUGAGAUUCGAGUGCAAGGAGAAUCAUUCCGUUUUAAAGAAUGGAGGACUUGAAAUGGUUUAUAAAUUGUAAAGAAUUUCGUUGAAGGUUCACGUUGUUUUCGACUUUGCUCUAUCAUAGCAGAACGGCAAGUUUUUCCUCUUGAUAUUAUAUAUUUUUAAAAAUUAGACGCUCGGUCUUACAAGUUAUUUCAGGCAAUAUUAAUAUACAAGGACAAUUAUCACUUCUUAUGCGCAGUCAUAUAUCAUAAACAAGAAGUCUUUUGAACGGAAACUCGAAACAGGAGAAAAGCAAGCAUUAUCAGUAUCGGUAAGGUAAUCAAUAACAAUACAUUACACGAUUAAAAAGCGAUUAUUUCAAAAUAAAUUUCCAGUAAUGUUCAUUUUUUUUCUUUAUGCUUCGAAAAUGCACUUACUUUUUAGGCAGAGUAUAUUGAGUCGUACAACUCAAUUUUGGGCUUGCGGCAAUAUGUUAAAACUCAUAUUCUAGAAUAAGAAAAAAAUUCUCACAAAGAGUGCCCUCCAAAACACGUCUUCCUAAAUAUUUACACCAUGAGUACUUUCAUACUGUAUCCGAUCUUUGUUUAUGUAAUAGCUUGGCUAACGAGAUUAUGCUUAAAAAGUUACAAAACGAUAUGUUCUUUAUCCAUUGAAUAUUUGAAAACAUCUCAGUGUAAAAAUAUCAAUCAUUGAGCAUGGUAUUACCAUUGUAAGAUAAAGAGUCAGAACUUUUUCAAGAUCAAGAUCCUAUAUCCAUAAAAGAAACCAAAACUAAUUCCAGCUGUAAUCAAUAAUGAUCGUUGGGUUUGAUAAUUAACAAGAAAUCAUUAACAUUAGAUGUUUAAGCGUUGUACAUAUUCAUAUCCGGGCCAUGAGACAGUAGAAAACCAAAGAAAGCACAAAAGCAAGUUAAUCUUGAACUUUUAUAACAGGAUGGCUUUCUUUUUGCCAUUGUUUGCGCUUGUAUUUUUGGGAUUCAUUAGCUGAUGGGCUUUUCACUAUUACCACCAGUUUCGUUCCUUAGCAUCUGCCACCUCCA